CCUACGGGAGGCUGCAGUGGGGAAUAUUGCACAAUGGGGGAAACCCUGAUGCAGCGACGCCGCGUGAGUGAAGAAGUAUUUCGGUAUGUAAAGCUCUAUCAGCAGGGAAGAAAAUGACGGUACCUGACUAAGAAGCCCCGGCUAACUACGUGCCAGCAGCCGCGGUAAUACGUAGGGGGCAAGCGUUAUCCGGAUUUACUGGGUGUAAAGGGAGCGUAGACGGCGAAGAAAGUCUGAAGUGAAAGCCCGCGGCUCAACCGCGGAACUGCUUUGGAAACUUUUUUGCUGGAGUAUCGGAGAGGUAAGCGGAAUUCCUAGUGUAGCGGUGAAAUGCGUAGAUAUUAGGAGGAACACCAGUGGCGAAGGCGGCUUACUGGACGGUAACUGACGUUGAGGCUCGAAAGCGUGGGGAGCAAACAGGAUUAGAUACCCCUGUAGUC
Molecule: ribosomal RNA, 440 nt
Filed under: uncultured bacterium
Lineage: Bacteria
Description: partial 16S ribosomal RNA
Rfam family: Bacterial small subunit ribosomal RNA
Source: RNAcentral